GGUGAGUAACACGUGGAGAACCUACCUUUCAGCGGGGGAUAACCAUUGGAAACGAUGACUAAUACCGCAUAGGACAUCUGGUCACAUGACCGGGUGAGGAAAGACGGCUUCGGCUGUCACUGAAAGAUGGCUCCGCGGAGCAUUAGCUAGAUGGUAAGGUAACGGCUUACCAUGGCCAUGAUGCAUCGCCGACCUGAGAGGGUGAUCGGCCACACUGGGACUGAGACACGGCCCAGACUCCUACGGGAGGCAGCAGUAGGGAAUCUUCCGCAAUGGACGCAAGUCUGACGGAGCAACGCCGCGUGUGUGAAGAAGGUCUUCGGAUCGUAAAGCACUGUUGUUAGAGAAGAACACCCGGUAGAGUAACUGCUACCGGCUUGACGGUAUCUAACCAGAAAGCCACGGCUAACUACGUGCCAGCAGCCGCGGUAAUACGUACGUGGCAAGCGUUGUCCGGAUUUAUUGGGCGUAAAGGGAGCGCAGGUGGUGAUUUAAGUCUGAUGUGAAAGCCCACGGCUCANCCGUGGAGGGUCAUUGGAAACUGGGUCACUUGAGUACAGAAGAGGAAAGUGGAAUUCCAUGUGUAGCGGUGAAAUGCGUAGAUAUAUGGAGGAACACCAGUGGCGAAGGCGACUUUCUGGUCUGUUACUGACACUGAGGCUCGAAAGCGUGGGGAGCAAACAGGAUUANAUACCCUGGUAGUCCACGCC
This 710-nucleotide ribosomal RNA is filed under the name uncultured bacterium. Its description in RNAcentral is "bacterial SSU rRNA". It matches the Rfam family "Bacterial small subunit ribosomal RNA", at positions 105 to 801 of the family's 1533-position model. The record is from RNAcentral.